ACCCGCUGAACUUAAGCAUAUCAAUAAGCGGAGGAAAAGAAACCAACAGGGAUUGCCUCAGUAACGGCGAGUGAAGCGGCAAAAGCUCAGAUUUGAAAUCUGGCGUCAUUUUGGCGUCCGAGUUGUAAUCUGUAGAGAAGUGUUCAAGUGUGGAUUUGGCUUAAGUUCCUUGGAACAGGGCGUCAUAGAGGGUGAGAACCCCGUUAACGGCCUAUGUCUUAUGCUUAUGUGAACCUUCUUCAACGAGUCGAGUUGUUUGGGAAUGCAGCUCUAAAUUGGUGGUAAAUUCCAUCUAAAGCUAAAUACUGGCAAGAGACCGAUAGCGCACAAGUAGAGUGAUCGAAAGAUGAAAAGAACUCUGAACAGAGAGUUAAAUAGUACGUGAAAUUGUUGAAAGGGAAGCACUUGCUACCAGACACGCCUGUAGUUGAUCAGCCUCCAUUUUUGGUGGUGCACUUAGCUAUAGGUGGGUCAGCAUCAGUUAUAUUGGUGGGAUAAAGACCUUGGGAAUGUAGCUUCUUUCGGGAAGUGUUAUAGCCCGAGGUGUAAUACCAUCUAAUGUGACUGAGGCCCGCGCUUCGGCGAGGAUGCUGGCAUAAUGGUCGU
This 606-nucleotide ribosomal RNA is filed under the name uncultured fungus. Its description in RNAcentral is "eukaryotic LSU rRNA". It matches the Rfam family "Eukaryotic large subunit ribosomal RNA", at positions 23 to 641 of the family's 3401-position model. Lineage: Eukaryota; Fungi. The record is from RNAcentral.